RNAcentral lists this long non-coding RNA (6237 nucleotides) under Marmota monax (woodchuck). The record is from RNAcentral. Lineage: Eukaryota; Metazoa; Chordata; Mammalia; Rodentia; Sciuridae.
CCGCCUGGCCACAACACUGGGGGCCGGCUCCUCAUGCAGGGGGAACAGGGACUGACCAGGUGGCAUCUGCAGAGAGGACCUGGGCUGGACACCCUGCCAAAGGUGUGCAGGGCCUGCCCAGCUGACUCUGCAGAAGUUGCCUGGAGCCAGCUUGGCGCUGGGGAGUGACACGCACAUUCCCACCCUGCAAUGUCUGGGACACAAGUCAGUGGGGAUGGGAACAUGCUUGGACGUGCCUGAGAUGGGUCCUCGCAUGGUGCUGGUGGGAAUUGAAAUUGGCACAACCAUUCAGGAAGGGAGUGACCAUGCCCAACCGCAGGACCUGGGGUUGCUGUCUGGGCAUCAGUGCCAGAGAAGUGAGCACUGGUGUGCCGGUGGAGAGGGACACGUCUGCCAGUCAAGGAGUGGGCCGAAGAUUGUGGCCACCUGUACACGGGAACUGAGAGGCGCUGACAGCUCAUCAAGCCUGGAAACUGGGUGAGUGAAGCUGCACAGACCCUUUCGUUUAAAGAAAGGUCUAGAGCAGGCAGUCCUGGAGCCUGGACGUGGCUCAGUGGAACUCUGAGUUGGGCAGAUGACACUGGGGGACAGCUGAGGGUCCAGGGUUGGUUUGGAGGUGGUGGGCUGUGGUGCUGGCCACGCACUCUGGAAGCUUGCGGGCACACUGUGUGCGUGGGAUGUACGAAGGGCGGCUCCUGCCUCAGGAGCAGCAGUUCCCUGAGAGGAAGCAGGGACGCGCCCCCGUGUCCACAGCAGCCCAGAGUCGGAAGCAACCCAGGUGAUUUGUAGGAGCGCGGCUAAAGACACAGGUGCUGCUCAGCCGGGAAGGAACCAGCCCUUGUGCCGCUCAGCAGCCUGGGGGCUCCCUGAGAAUCACCCAGAGUUUCAGAAGCACCCAUCCCAGCCAGGACGUGCUGGAGGGUCCUUUUGUUACCGCUGUUGUGACCGGUGACGAGUUCUUGCUUCCCCAAUGUUGAAGAAUAACACCAGAGAAAUUAGAAGUUUAUUAAAGGACAGCAGAAAAGACUUCUCCCGGAGGAAGAAGGGGACCCAAGAGGUGGAAUCCAUGGAAGGGAUGUUGUCUCCCCUUUUUAUAGUUCUUUCAGUAAUGGAAUGUAGGUGGGAAGGACCGAGGGGUGGGACACAGGUGGGCCAAAGAAGUAAUCUGGUCAGGAAGGACUGAGUCAGCACCUUUUUGCUGGGGGCUGUUCAUUAACAUUUCUUUGAGGUGGACUUUGGCCUAGGGCCUUUUCGGACUUCAUUAACAUUCCUUGAGUUGUCCUGCGUUUCCCGGAAUCAUUGCCAGCAUGGCCUCCAUUUUAGAUUUCACUCGGUAUUAGACCCGAUUUACCUAACUACACUGACUACCUAACUUUAAAUCUGGCUUCACUUUGGCUAAGGCUCUCUAAGUGACUGGAGAGAAGACGGAUAGAUCCGUGGGUGCCGGGGCAGGGAGGCACCUGUUGAUGAUGACACUCUGUCUGUGCCAGGCCGACUGUGGGAAGGUGUCGUGGGCUGAGGGGCCACCACGCAGGUGCCUGCAGGACUGGGGGUUUGGGAUUGUGGGGGCGCUGGCCGCCUUCCUGUGGUCAGGUUGAGCUUUGGUCUUGUCCCCUUGGGAAGCUGGGAGGGGUCUCCUCCCUACAGCUCCUGUAAGUCUGUGGUCACCCAAGAGUACAGGCUUCAGGCCGGGGGCCCUGGGCAUGCCAUGACCCAGUGACCUGAGAGGCUGAGGCAGGGAGACUGGGACACCUCCUGUGGCCACAGCCAGCUCAGCAUCCAGAGCCAGAGGGCUGUAGGCCACUCAGGAGGAGCUGCUCAUUUGUAUCUCAUUUUCAAGUUAUUAUGGAGCUGCCGCUUGUGAGAGUGUUUUGACAGCAGCUGUCAGCAAGGUGCAAGUGGCUGCCAUUACCUCCGAUUGGCUGAAGACACCUAUGGCAGCCAGUGGAAUAUUGGCCAGGCCAGCCUGCCACCAGGGGGAGGAGGCAGGAGGGAAAGAAAACAGCUCAGGCCGCCCAGCCCUGUGUCAUUAGCAUUGUUCUGACUCCCAGUUGAGAAGGCAGCCGGAAAAGACUCGGAUUGUGUCUUGUGUUUUAUUUAAUUUAUUUUAUUUGAGGUUUCAGGCAGCCGGGGAGGUGGGAGGAGAGAGGAUCCAUCCAAACAACCGUUUAGGCGUGUCAGAGUUCAUUUAUUGAAUUAGCGAGGUGACCUCUCAGGGCUCCCAGCUGCCUGGCUGCAGCCCCUGGGACGGGAGCUGGGCGCUGGUGAAGGAGCUCAAAUGCAGGAGCGGGUGCUCCAGCCAGGGAAGCAGGAUGCAGGAGCGGGUGCUCCAAUCAGGGAUGCCCCCCUCUCUCCCUCUCUCUCCCUCCCUCUCUCUCUCUCAUCCCCUUUCUCCCUCUCCCCCCCUUCUUAACUGAAGUGUGGAGGGACACACAUGCUCCCUCCUUCCCUGAAGAUUCUUCUCUAUCCAUGACAUAAAUCAUCCCCAUGUGUUUUGCCAGACACGGUGCAGCUGUGCACACAGGCAGGAGCCUGUGGGGCGCUGGGAAUCACUGCCUUUCACCUAAGAGUCUUAAAACUCAUUGUUUGUUUGGUUGGUUUCAUUCUGUUUUUAAGUAUGAAAAAAACUGUCAGCAACACCAGAAGGCAGCUGCCUGGUGAUGGGGGCACAGUCUGCCUCCACCGAGGGCCCAUGGGGGUGCUCUGCUGUGCACACGCAGCCAGAGAAUGUUGGCACGGCACAAGGAGACUAUGUGUCACUCUUGUUUCCACCCAGAAGGUCCCCUGCAGCAGCUCUGCCCCCCCCCCAGCAGCAGCUCUGUCCCCCAGCCAUCUGAAGCCCCUCUCCCCUCUGCCUGGGAGGGCUGGCCCUGGGUCUUCCUUCCUAUAGGUACCAGAGAGCCAAAGGGGGCCACAGUCUGGGGUGCAGUGUUCAACCGGGCCACUUGUCAGGGGACAUGUGGUGACAAUUGGGGUUGUCAUGGCUUGAGGGGUGCUACUGGCCUCUAGGCAGGAGCCAGGGGUGCUGCUGAAUGUCCUUCAACAUGCAAGACAGCUGAGGUUGGCGCUCGAGUCUGUGGGAAGGGGCUUUGUCAGCGGAGGGGACAGUAGUGAGCUUUGAGGCUCCGAGGUUCAAAGUGGGGUGCAGAUGGCAUGGGCCAUCUAGGACAUCUGGGGGGAAUGGCUGCUGCCCAGUAAACCCAGGAGUACUCCUGGUCAUUGCAACAACCAAACCUGGGCCCACAGGUGCCCCCCACCCCCCAGCAGUGCCACCCUGUAAGUUGUACUGAUGUCAUCGACAUAGCAAAACAGAAUCCUGCCAAUUGACACAUCUGCCUAUGUCAACCGUGUCCUCCCCUCCCCAAGUCCUUGUGCAAAAGUGAACCUGGAGACAAUCGGAUCCUAUUUAACCUUGUGGUGUUGGUGAAAUGCCUCCUGCUGUAUGUAACCCAAGGAUUCCAGAAACAGGGAAGUUCACAGGGAAGACCCAGAGCUUUUCUGAUCCUUCCCCAAGUUCUCCACAAACAGGGGAACACAGCGUACAUCACUGGGCGUGGUGCAAAGAGAUUAAUAGGACCCUGCGGGGGAAGUGCUAAGUGUAGACUCUGGGGAGCAAACCCUGGAAGAUGUCCUUAGUGUUGGGAGUCCCUGGCUCCAAAGACUAACUUCCCCAUCCCCCCCCCCCAGAAGAGCCGUCCAAUGGUGAGCCCUGCUGGCUCACAUGAUCCUUACCCACCAAUCAGACUAGCUCUGCUGGCUCACAUGAUCCUUACCCUCCAAUCAGAAAGCACCCCAUGCCAACUGUCAAACCCUUCAACCAUUAAACUCUCAUAACUGUCAAACCUCCCCCGGCUCUAUAAAUAUUCAGAGGAGUUCCUCAAUAAACGGGCAUUUUCUCCAACAACGAGCCUUGUUCAUUGCAUUCAUUCUUUCCUUCAAGAACCUCCCUCCCAGAGGACACCGAAUCCCACCAUGUGAAUUCUAGGAGCCACUAGGGGGUUCUUCAGGGUCAUCCUGCUCCAGGAGCAAGGGAGCUGGACGUCCAUCCAGCAGCUCCCACAAGCCCUUGGCCAGGGCUUCUCUGUUAAUCUCCAAUGGGCAAACCCUACCAUACCUAAACCCAAACCCAAAUCCCCCAACCCCCAGGAUAAUAAAACAAUGAGUUAUGGCCUGACAAUAGGAAACAGAGCCAGCCACACCAGAGCUGUAGUGAAUACCGUGGGGUACCAAGAGCAAACAAGGCAUGGCCCCUGUUCUCGUGAAGCUCAUCAUACAGAGAGGGAGGCAGGCACAGACCACUCCAUGAAAUGUCAGGUCACACAGAGGCAACACUACAAAGAACAGGUGUGUGACACUCAGGGUGUAAGUAGCAAAGAACUCUUCCAUAGUCCCUUUUGACACAGAAGGGACAUUUGAGCUGGAAUUCACAGGCCAAGGGAGCAGAGAAAGAACAGCAUGUGCAAAGUCCCUGUGGCACUAAGUAUAGCAGAAGCCAACUGGAGGGCUGGGAAGCAAAGAGAGAGGGGUCCAGUUGUAGAUGUGGCCAAACCUUGAAGUCUGUGUUAGGAGGGCCAGAGGGAACCUUUGAGGAUUUUAGGCAGAGAGAGGCCAAUUUCAGAGAAAUAUUUGGGUUGUUAUAAACAAUAAGUAGGUGUGGGUGGCAAGAGUGGAAGCAGGGAGACCCAGGUGCUCAGGGGUGCCUUCCACAUACCAGAUAGAAAAUGGUAAAGGCAACUAGCAGGUGUGAAAGACAUUCUUCUAGACCCCAGAGAGCUUUAUCCAAAAUGUCACACUACCCUCAUAAUCCAACGAGGAGGCAGGCACUCUUAUUUCUCCCCAUUUCAAGGAGGGAAAGAUGGAGACUCCAGUCUUCACUGAAGCAGUGGAUUAGUAACUAUCCAGCUCAGACUAGGAGAGCUAUAAAGAAGAGGGAAGGGGUGGGAAAUGCUUUUGGGUGACUUUGAUGCCACACUCUUUCAUUCAUCGAACACAUUCUGGUACAAAGCCCUCUCCCUGCUGGCCAUUCCUCAAGGAGCUUGUCCUCACCAUGAUGCUGCCUACCCCUCUUCCUGAUGUCCCUUUUAGGUAGGUCUUGUGGUGCCCCAUUUUACAGAUGAGAAUAUGGAUGCUCAGAGAGAUGACAUCAUCUGACCCUAAACACUUCAGACACAAGAGAAUAUCCUCCGGGUUCAGUCUCAGGUUGAUCCAAUUUUUAAACGCAUAUUAUUUCUUUGUCCAAUUCCACAGUCCCCGCCAAGACCCGGCUGAGCCCAGGAAGUUAUUCGCUGCAGGCCAGGAGGGGCCUGGGAGGUCUGGGAGGUACUGAGUGUUGACAUAGGGUCUCUGACAGGCAUGGUAUAUAGUUUUAAUUAAGGUUGUAAGGGAUGAAAUCUGAGAACUCAGGUGGGUGGCCUGUGGAUCCUUUGACAUUCUGAUGCAUUAUCUUUCAGAUCCACGGGAUGAGUACCUGGUCGAGUCCUGGAAUGUUCCGGAAUUAGGACUCGAGAGAUGCGAUCCCAUGUUAAAUGUAGGUGGAGAUGGACUGCAUGAAACCCAGAGUGGGGGCUGGGAGAGUGGGCUGGACCCAAGCCUGUUCCUCCUGUUCUUUCAUUAAAUAGAUUAAUUUGGAGCUGGGUAUGUGUUUUCAAGGUGCAGAAGUUAUUGGUCCCCUGGAGCUAGGGCAUGACCCAGUUCUCAGGAACUGCCCUGUGUGUCUGGAGACCAGCUGGGGUCUUCUUAAAGAAGCCCUGGGCUGGGGAACAGGGGUAGACUGAGGUCAAACUUGGCCCCUCAUUUUUUGGGGGGUGACUUUUCCUAUUUCCUCCCCUCCCCCACUCCCCUUGGUUCUUCCAGAGCUUUCCAUUCCAUGCCCUUAUUUGGAAGGCACUUGUACUCGUCAUUGGGGACAACUCAGUCACAACAAAUCUCAAGCAGACUCCCACUAGAGAUGCCGUCCUGACACCCCUAGCCCCUGACCCCUUCUUGCAUCUGCUCAUGAUUCCCCCCUCUUGAAUUUGUGGGUACAGAGCUAGACAGAAAAGGAACUACUCUUAAGAGGGAGGUGAGUGGAGGAGGGGACCACAGAGGCCCAGGAAGGGGUGGCCAUUCCUUAGGAAAGGGGAGCAGACAGCCCUUGGCCAGGGCCACCUGCUGGGUUUCUGUUCUAGGGACUAAAAGGCUCAGGGGUCACUCUAGUUAAACUGGGCUAACUGGGCUGCAUGAAAUAACCACACAAUG